GAUGAACGCUGGCGGCGUGCCUAAUACAUGCAAGUCGAGCGAACAGACGAGGAGCUUGCUUCUCUGACGUUAGCGGCGGACGGGUGAGUAACACGUGGAUAACCUACCUAUAAGACUGGGAUAACUUCGGGAAACCGGAGCUAAUACCGGAGAAUAUAUUGAACCGCAUGGUUCAAUAGUUAAAGACGGUUUUGCUGUCACUUAUAGAUGGAUCCGCGCCGCAUUAGCUAGUUGGUAAGGUAACGGCUUACCAAGGCAACGAUGCGUAGCCGACCUGAGAGGGUGAUCGGCCACACUGGAACUGAGACACGGUCCAGACUCCUACGGGAGGCAGCAGUAGGGAAUCUUCCGCAAUGGGCGAAAGCCUGACGGAGCAACGCCGCGUGAGUGAUGAAGGUCUUCGGAUCGUAAAACUCUGUUAUUAGGGAAGAACAAAUGUGUAAGUAACUAUGCACGUCUUGACGGUACCUAAUCAGAAAGCCACGGCUAACUACGUG
This 497-nucleotide ribosomal RNA is filed under the name uncultured bacterium. Its description in RNAcentral is "partial 16S ribosomal RNA". It matches the Rfam family "Bacterial small subunit ribosomal RNA", at positions 28 to 507 of the family's 1533-position model. The record is from RNAcentral.